Triticum aestivum (bread wheat) is the source of this 149-nucleotide non-coding RNA. NCBI's taxonomy places the organism in Eukaryota, Viridiplantae, Streptophyta, Magnoliopsida, Poales, Poaceae. The record is from Rfam.
UAAGUACUUCCUCCGUUCCGAAUUACUAGUCGCAGAAAUGAAUGUAUCUAGAACUAAAAAAAUAGUUCUAGAUACAUUCAUUUCUGCGACAAGUAGUUCUAGAUACAUUCAUUUCUACAACAAGUAAUUCGGAACGGAGGGAGUACUUU